Molecule: ribosomal RNA, 743 nt
Filed under: uncultured bacterium
Lineage: Bacteria
Description: bacterial SSU rRNA
Rfam family: Bacterial small subunit ribosomal RNA
Source: RNAcentral
AGAGUUUGAUCAUGGCUCAGGACGAACGCUGGCGGCGUGCCUAAUACAUGCAAGUCGAGCGCAGGAAGCCGACGGAACCCUUCGGGGGGAAGUCGAUGGAAUGAGCGGCGGACGGGUGAGUAACACGUAAAGAACCUGCCUCUAAGACUGGGAUAACCACGAGAAAUCGGGGCUAAUACCGGAUAGGUCAUCGAACCGCAUGGUUCGAGGAUGAAAGGCGCGUAUGCGUCACUUAGAGAUGGCUUUGCGGUGCAUUAGCUAGUUGGUGGGGUAAUGGCCCACCAAGGCGACGAUGCAUAGCCGACCUGAGAGGGUGAUCGGCCACACUGGGACUGAGACACGGCCCAGACUCCUACGGGAGGCAGCAGUAGGGAAUCUUCCACAAUGGACGAAAGUCUGAUGGAGCAACGCCGCGUGAACGAUGAAGGUUUUCGGAUCGUAAAGUUCUGUUGUAAGGGAAGAACAAGUACCGGAGGAAAUGCCGGUACCUUGACGGUACCUUGCGAGAAAGCCACGGCUAACUACGUGCCAGCAGCCGCGGUAAUACGUAGGUGGCAAGCGUUGUCCGGAAUUAUUGGGCGUAAAGCGCGCGCAGGCGGUCUCUUAAGUCUGAUGUGAAAGCCCCCGGCUCAACCGGGGAGGGCCAUUGGAAACUGGGGGACUUGAGUAUAGGAGAGAAGAGUGGAAUUCCACGUGUAGCGGUGAAAUGCGUAGAGAUGUGGAGGAACACCAGUGGCGAAGGC